Molecule: ribosomal RNA, 164 nt
Filed under: Heterotula multitentata
Lineage: Eukaryota; Metazoa; Porifera; Demospongiae; Spongillida; Potamolepidae
Description: partial 28S ribosomal RNA
Rfam family: Eukaryotic large subunit ribosomal RNA
Source: RNAcentral
UGGACCUCAGCUCAGGCGUGACUACCCGCUGAAUUUAAGCAUAUCAAUAAGCGGAGGAAAAGAAACCAACAGGGAUUCCCCCAGUAACGGCGAGCGAAGCGGGAAUAGCUCGAGCCUUAAAUCUCCGGCGCACAGCCGGCGAAUUGUAGCCGAGAGAAGCACUC